GGCUCAGGAUGAACGCUAGCUACAGGCUUAACACAUGCAAGUCGAGGGGCAUCAUGGUGGUAGCUUGCUACCGCUGAUGGCGACCGGCGCACGGGUGAGUAACACGUAUCCAACCUGCCUUGAGCUCAGGGAUAGCCCUCUGAAAGGAGGAUUAAUACCUGAUGUGGUUGUUGGCUGACAUCAGCUUUCAAUUAAAGAUUUAUCGGCUCAUGAUGGGGAUGCGUCUGAUUAGCUUGUUGGCGGGGUAACGGCCCACCAAGGCGACGAUCAGUAGGGGUUCUGAGAGGAAGGUCCCCCACAUAGGAACUGAGACACGGUCCUAACUCCUACGGGAGGCAGCAGUGAGGAAUAUUGGUCAAUGGUCGAGAGACUGAACCAGCCAAGUAGCCGUGAAGGAUGACUGCCCUACGGGUUGUAAACUUCUUUUGCCGCAGAGUAAACCCGGGGACGUGUCCCCGGUUGAGAGUAUGCGGCGAAUAAGUAUCGGCUAACUCCGUGCCAGCAGCCGC
RNAcentral lists this ribosomal RNA (509 nucleotides) under uncultured bacterium. RNAcentral's name for it is "bacterial SSU rRNA". It matches the Rfam family "Bacterial small subunit ribosomal RNA", at positions 21 to 518 of the family's 1533-position model. The record is from RNAcentral.